AGUGGCCAGGGGGGCAGCUGGAGACACAGAUUCUGCAUUGUGGGAUGAUAAGAAAGAAGGGCAACGUCACCAAUGACUGAGUCCUCCAAAUAGCUGUCCUUGGUCUCAACAUCCUUUUUAAACCAUGAUGGUACAUUUUGUGUUUUGUGAUUCAGUAUUGGUUUCACCAUGUGACUUAGACAAAGAGGCAGUGGGCUUGUGCAGCAGCAUCUUGCCUAUAUGAAGUACUCUUGGGUUCAGCGCUUUGCAAAGAGUAAAGCAGAUGUCCGCUGUUGAAGAAUGCAUGUGCAACUGAAGCCAGUGACCUUGUAAUCCACCAAAUGCCUGUGACGGAAUCCACAGCGCCUCUGCUCACAAGUUUCCUCUCUGAAGUCAUUUUGGGGGAAGCCAACAAAAAAUUCCAAAAUAUGCAGGAAGAGCCUGGAAAGUCUGAGGAGGCUGAGUUUUCCAAGCAAACAGCAACUGCGAAAGGGUUGUUUUUCUAGAAUGGAGGGGGCUUGAGACAUAAGAGCCACAGAUGUGUGAAGCAAACCUUUGCACUUCACAGUGUUUCACCUACAUAAUUUUUCAAGUUCAACACAGAUGAGUAGUGGUAAAGAAAAGAAAAGAAAAAAAAAGCAGAGAAAAAAAGAUCUUCCCUGGCUUUGGUAAUAAGCUGCUGUGAUCUCCAAGGAAUCAUGUAAUUGUGCAUCUUCAGGCCUUGCUGGCUGGAAAGAAGCAUCAGGCAGGUAAUGACAACUACCUGGCUGCCAACAGCUGAGACCCCUGUCUGUGGAGGGAGAAGGGCAAGCUCAGCGAUCUGAUGCCAAAGCAUCUGUCUGUUCUGUGCACCAGCACACACUUUUUCUGGCUAAGCUGAGCUUCAUAAAUACUAAGCCCACGUCUCCCCAUGCCCGAAUGGAAGACGUUAGGUUUUAAAGAAUACAGCAAGUCUUCCAAGCACAGAAGUAAAAUGCAUUUGAGGAUUUUAGAAUCUGUACUCCUGGGCGGCAUCACCUAGAAGUGCUA
Molecule: long non-coding RNA, 1008 nt
Organism: Rhinolophus ferrumequinum (greater horseshoe bat)
Lineage: Eukaryota; Metazoa; Chordata; Mammalia; Chiroptera; Rhinolophidae
Exons: 3
Source: RefSeq, a predicted model, not a curated record